GUGCUCUCUUCAGUAGCAUAUGCACAAAAGUUGAAACUACCUAGAGGAUUAGCAUGGCCCCUGCACAAGGAUGACCUGCAUAUUCAUGAGUUAUACCAUAUUUUU
Small nuclear RNA from Pteronotus mesoamericanus, 105 nucleotides. The record is from RefSeq and is a predicted model, not a curated record. NCBI's taxonomy places the organism in Eukaryota, Metazoa, Chordata, Mammalia, Chiroptera, Mormoopidae.